RNAcentral lists this ribosomal RNA (295 nucleotides) under uncultured soil bacterium. RNAcentral describes it as "partial 16S ribosomal RNA". It matches the Rfam family "Bacterial small subunit ribosomal RNA", at positions 26 to 347 of the family's 1533-position model. The record is from RNAcentral.
AGAACGAACGCUGGCGGCAUGCCUAAUACAUGCAAGUCGAACGAACACUUCGGUGUUAGUGGCGCACGGGUGCGUAACGCGUGGGAAUCUGCCCUUGGGUUCGGAAUAACAGUUGGAAACGACUGCUAAUACCGGAUGAUAUCGAAAGAUCAAAGAUUUAUCGCCCAGGGAUGAGCCCGCGUAGGAUUAGCUAGUUGGUGAGGUAAAGGCUCACCAAGGCGACGAUCCUUAGCUGGUCUGAGAGGAUGAUCAGCCACACUGGGACUGAGACACGGCCCAGACCUCCGUACGGGAG